CGCAGCUUUGUGGGGCACCGGACCCUUAACGGGAACAGACAGAUCUGUGGAAGUCAUUUUUUGGUAGCGGUGUGGGAUGAUGCACAAUCAGAACUCUCACCGAUUCCCAGGGCAACAUCGAAGCCCUGGGCACAGCACCGCCUCUCUCAGUGCGCUGAAGUGAUUUACUCGCCUCCCAGGUCCCCCAGAUUGGAGAAGCUUGCAUAGCCUUCCGAUAGACAGAAUGUAGAUCUAGUGUUCCCAUCCCCUCUGUCGGUGAAGAAACUUCGCGAAGCUGUCCGUGAUUGGCUUCAGUUCCAGGCCACUCUACGCAAAAUUUGAGCAUAGUUUAUUCUUGGGUACAAAAAUAGCUAGCAUUUAAGUAGUAACUUGAUAUAUAUUGUUUUGUUUGAUCCUCACAACAAUUUUGGGAAGUAAGUGCUACUAUUAUUCCUAUUUUACAGAUAAAGAAAUAGGUUGAGGUUACGUUAAAUGACAUGCUCAGAGUCUCACAACUAAUAAGGGUCCGAGGCUGCAUUUGAGCACUUCUUCCUUACGCAAGGUCCAGUAUUCUAUCUAUUGCCUUCUAUGGGAACCAAAAAAUGUAGUAAUUGUAUAGUAUCGAUCUCUAGUCUACUGACCAGCCCAGCAGCACUGGGUCUGAAUGUUUAUCACUGGUAGGUGCGGAUCACUCUUUUCCUCCCUGCCCCCCCAAAAUCUUGGCGAUCGGAUAGGGUAAAGAGCCGUAUAUCAGGCAGUGUGACUCAGCUGUAGUCAUCUGGGUCACCCUCUCCCGGGAUAAUGAGAAAAGGUCACCCCUCUCCACCCACAGAUUAUUCGGAACUGUGAAGGUCAUCUGAAAGGAGACCCCAGCCAGUCUACUGGAGUCAGUCCUGGCCUCCGCAUAAGCAGGACUUGUAUUCCAGCUCAGAGAAGAUGGAGAAUGUCAGGAAAAAGGAGGGUAGGAUGUAACUAAAUCACGCAGACAGUGCUACAAGUGUCCCUUUUCCGAAGCGGGGGAGGGGCGUUCAGGGAACUGUUAGCCUACCAGGCCAGUAAGUCAUCAGCCUGGGAAGCAGCUCGUGGAGCUCUGUGAGAACAUCACCCUGGGGACGGGGGAGUCAGAAUAAAAGAUUAUUGGAGCUGGAUAAGAUCUAGGACAAGCUUCUCAUUUUACAAAUGAUAAAAGUAACUCUGAGAGAGAUUGUUUGAAUUUGCUUAGGUAUUACCGAUGAUCAGUGACAUAAAUUUAAGUCUAGGAAUUGGGUCUCUGGACUCCAGGGCUCUUUCUGGUUGCUAAAUGACUGAAAUAGAUUUUCAAUCUUAGGAUCAAAGGUUUAGAAGCAGGAAGAGCCCUCAGCUGUCAUCCAGUUCAUUUCCCUUCAUUUUAUAGAGGAGGAAACUGAACAGAGAGAUUAACUGAUUUACCUUAACUCAGAGAGGUAUCAUAUAUAUCAAUUCACUUUAUAAUUGUGAGAGUAACUGCAAAUGUGAGUUCAUUGGUCUAUGAAGAAACUUCAAUGCAGAUCAGCACCUUUACUUCAACUUAGGGUGUGACAGAUGGAGUUGCCAGAACUCUGAAAGGAUAAAUGAUCGCCAGGAUCACAUAGCCAGCAUGUCUCCAAGACAUCACUUGAAACCAGAUCUUCCUGGCCUCACCACACUGACUUUCUUAGAGGAAUAUGCCUUGCUUAUGCAGAGAGGUGGGGCCAAUUGAUGAAGUUAUAAUGGAGAAGAGAUAGUGAGGUCAUAAAUAAGUUACAAUAAAGUAUAAUUUGUUAUGGCUUUGUGAGGUAUAAAGUUGUUUAAGCAAGGUCUAUGGAAUUAGGGGCUCACUAACCACUAACUAUAUCCCCAGAGGCCCUUUAAAAAUCAAGAAACUCUAUGGCAUGAGUUGAGGUAGGAGACAGCUCUGAAGAAUAUGAGCCUUCUGAGUCUAGAAGAGAAUAUGCUAUGAAAGAACUUAAUUCUUGAGGGGAAGCCUUUCUCACCUCUGGGAUGAAAGGAAUUUCACUUGCCUCCAAUCCACAUAGACAUUAAAAUCAUUUCCCAGAUUCUAUCUGGGACUUCUCUCAGCAUCUACAGUUUCCUUGCUUUGGAAUACCAAACCAUCCCUGCAGCCCUCUCUCUCUGGAAUAUUUCUGCACUUGACUGACUCCUUUCUCCCAGAGAUGAGUUCCUUUUGAAUUCUCCAUUUUGUGAAAUGGCAUAGACCCAAACCCAGGUGAAGAAAUUUCCGAGUUCAGACCAAAGGAAUAACAAUCAGAAUUUGCCCUGGAUCCAACCCCCUUAGGAGCACUGAAAGUUUGCAUGUCCCCAGCAUCUUCUUGAGAUACUGAGACACUUAAUACUCCAAGAAGGCAAGCAGCAACAGGACCAGUCCGAACAUUCCCUCCAGAAGGGAACAGAGUAACCUGAACACCAAGUCUGAAGUCAGCAGCCUGAAAGAAUUUACAAACAAAGAAAACAAAAGUAUCCUACCUUAAUUAUGGCAAGGUUGCUCAAGACAACAAAUGCUGAAGAGAAUGAUUCCAAAACAUCUACAACUAUUGUCUCAGAGAAAAACACAGGUUGGG
Molecule: non-coding RNA, 2555 nt
Organism: Phascolarctos cinereus (koala)
Lineage: Eukaryota; Metazoa; Chordata; Mammalia; Diprotodontia; Phascolarctidae
Source: RefSeq, a predicted model, not a curated record